GACGAACGCUGGCGGCGUGCUUAACACAUGCAAGUCGAACGGAAAGGCCCUGCUUUUGUGGGGUGCUCGAGUGGCGAACGGGUGAGUAACACGUGAGUAACCUGCCCUUGACUUUGGGAUAACUUCAGGAAACUGGGGCUAAUACCGGAUAGGAGCUCCUGCUGCAUGGUGGGGGUUGGAAAGUUUCGGCGGUUGGGGAUGGACUCGCGGCUUAUCAGCUUGCUGGUGGGGUAGUGGCUUACCAAGGCUUUGACGGGUAGCCGGCCUGAGAGGGUGACCGGCCACAUUGGGCCUGAGAUACGGCCCAGACUCCUACGGGAGGCAGCAGUGGGGAAUAUUGCACAAUGGGCGGAAGCCUGAUGAAGCAACGCCGCGUGCGGGAUGACGGCCUUCGGGUUGUAAACCGCUUUCGCCUGUGACGAAGCGUGAGUGACGGUAAUGGGUAAAGAAGCACCGGCUAACUACGUG
This 468-nucleotide ribosomal RNA is filed under the name uncultured bacterium. Its description in RNAcentral is "partial 16S ribosomal RNA". It matches the Rfam family "Bacterial small subunit ribosomal RNA", at positions 28 to 507 of the family's 1533-position model. The record is from RNAcentral.